GUUUUGAUCUUUUCAUCUAAUUUGUUUAUUUGUUAAAACUUAAAAGAUAGGUCAGUUUGUGCCUUUGUGGACGUCAUUGAUAUGGGCAUAAUGUAGUUCUUAGGCUUGUUUGGCAUUUUUUUCCCCUCUCAUAAGGGGAGCGAAAGAGUUGUGAGAUUUCGAACUCUGACGGCGGGCACUGGACUAUUGAGCUAAUGGUUCGAAAGGCGUGCGUGAAUUUUUGAGAAAAGAACUGUGAUGGAGUGCAGAAUUGCAAAAUGAUUUGUGUAACGUAAGAUAUGGAUUUUCGUUUGAUCAAGUAGUAGGAAAAGAAUGGGUCAUUGCUUAAUUGUGAAAUCAUUUAUUUCACAAAUGUCAGAAUGGUCCAGCCAGUUGAUUCAUACACUGAAAGCGCAUGGUGAUUCUCUAGUUUGUUGUCAUAAUCAUGAUUCAGUUAGAUUCAAAUGGAGAAUCAAUUGUGUAAUUUCAUUUUGUUUAUUUAUCCUCAUGGAGAUUAUCAAAAUAGCAUUCUGUAGAGAAAAAUGUCAUACUUUGGAAAAAGCUUGAUUUUAGGUUACAAACAUAAGAGGAAGUGAAUGGAUAAAUGUUUUAUUUUUCUGUAUU
Molecule: unclassified non-coding RNA, 603 nt
Filed under: Hevea brasiliensis (rubber tree)
Lineage: Eukaryota; Viridiplantae; Streptophyta; Magnoliopsida; Malpighiales; Euphorbiaceae
Source: RNAcentral